AUCAUCGACAUCAUCGAAACUCCUUUCGAUGGACCAGAACUCUUCUGAUUCAGAUAAUUAGAAUGAUCGAUCAUCAAAAUCAUUCUAAUUGCUCCCAAAAUCCACCAGUGACACCUAGCAGUAUAUGAUGGCAAUCCAUCAGAAUUGAAGAUGAACCUCUUGGUGCAGCUACCUGUGUGAUUGAGUUUCUCUAUCAUGAGUCCCGACUGAAUUAGGGUUAAGGUGAACUCGUCAAACCCAACAUCAGACAUAUGAAUCAAUCGAUCGAUCCGAGUUCGA
Molecule: long non-coding RNA, 279 nt
Filed under: Elaeis guineensis (African oil palm)
Lineage: Eukaryota; Viridiplantae; Streptophyta; Magnoliopsida; Arecales; Arecaceae
Description: long non-coding RNA (EGUI_LNC068234)
Source: RNAcentral